GGUUAAGCGACUAAGCGUACACGGUGGAUGCCCUGGCAGUCAGAGGCGAUGAAGGACGUGCUAAUCUGCGAUAAGCGUCGGUAAGGUGAUAUGAACCGUUAUAACCGGCGAUUUCCGAAUGGGGAAACCCAGUGUGUUUCGACACACUAUCAUUAACUGAAUCCAUAGGUUAAUGAGGCGAACCGGGGGAACUGAAACAUCUAAGUACCCCGAGGAAAAGAAAUCAACCGAGAUUCCCCCAGUAGCGGCGAGCGAACGGGGAGCAGCCCAGAGCCUGAAUCAGUGUGUGUGUUAGUGGAAGCGUCUGGAAAGGCGCGCGAUACAGGGUGACAGCCCCGUACACAAAAAUGCACAUGCUGUGAGCUCGAUGAGUAGGGCGGGACACGUGGUAUCCUGUCUGAAUAUGGGGGGACCAUCCUCCAAGGCUAAAUACUCCUGACUGACCGAUAGUGAACCAGUACCGUGAGGGAAAGGCGAAAAGAACCCCGGCGAGGGGAGUGAAAAAGAACCUGAAACCGUGUACGUACAAGCAGUGGGAGCACGCUUAGGCGUGUGACUGCGUACCUUUUGUAUAAUGGGUCAGCGACUUAUAUUCUGUAGCAAGGUUAACCGAAUAGGGGAGCCGAAGGGAAACCGAGUCUUAACUGGGCGUUAAGUUGCAGGGUAUAGACCCGAAACCCGGUGAUCUAGCCAUGGGCAGGUUGAAGGUUGGGUAACACUAACUGGAGGACCGAACCGACUAAUGUUGAAAAAUUAGCGGAUGACUUGUGGCUGGGGGUGAAAGGCCAAUCAAACCGGGAGAUAGCUGGUUCUCCCCGAAAGCUAUUUAGGUAGCGCCUCGUGAAUUCAUCUCCGGGGGUAGAGCACUGUUUCGGCAAGGGGGUCAUCCCGACUUACCAACCCGAUGCAAACUGCGAAUACCGGAGAAUGUUAUCACGGGAGACACACGGCGGGUGCUAACGUCCGUCGUGAAGAGGGAAACAACCCAGACCGCCAGCUAAGGUCCCAAAGUCAUGGUUAAGUGGGAAACGAUGUGGGAAGGCCCAGACAGCCAGGAUGUUGGCUUAGAAGCAGCCAUCAUUUAAAGAAAGCGUAAUAGCUCACUGGUCGAGUCGGCCUGCGCGGAAGAUGUAACGGGGCUAAACCAUGCACCGAAGCUGCGGCAGCGACACUAUGUGUUGUUGGGUAGGGGAGCGUUCUGUAAGCCUGUGAAGGUGUACUGUGAGGUAUGCUGGAGGUAUCAGAAGUGCGAAUGCUGACAUAAGUAACGAUAAAGCGGGUGAAAAGCCCGCUCGCCGGAAGACCAAGGGUUCCUGUCCAACGUUAAUCGGGGCAGGGUGAGUCGACCCCUAAGGCGAGGCCGAAAGGCGUAGUCGAUGGGAAACAGGUUAAUAUUCCUGUACUUGGUGUUACUGCGAAGGGGGGACGGAGAAGGCUAUGUUGGCCGGGCGACGGUUGUCCCGGUUUAAGCGUGUAGGCUGGUUUUCCAGGCAAAUCCGGAAAAUCAAGGCUGAGGCGUGAUGACGAGGCACUACGGUGCUGAAGCAACAAAUGCCCUGCUUCCAGGAAAAGCCUCUAAGCAUCAGGUAACAUCAAAUCGUACCCCAAACCGACACAGGUGGUCAGGUAGAGAAUACCAAGGCGCUUGAGAGAACUCGGGUGAAGGAACUAGGCAAAAUGGUGCCGUAACUUCGGGAGAAGGCACGCUGAUAUGUAGGUGAAGUCCCUCGCGGAUGGAGCUGAAAUCAGUCGAAGAUACCAGCUGGCUGCAACUGUUUAUUAAAAACACAGCACUGUGCAAACACGAAAGUGGACGUAUACGGUGUGACGCCUGCCCGGUGCCGGAAGGUUAAUUGAUGGGGUUAGCGCAAGCGAAGCUCUUGAUCGAAGCCCCGGUAAACGGCGGCCGUAACUAUAACGGUCCUAAGGUAGCGAAAUUCCUUGUCGGGUAAGUUCCGACCUGCACGAAUGGCGUAAUGAUGGCCAGGCUGUCUCCACCCGAGACUCAGUGAAAUUGAACUCGCUGUGAAGAUGCAGUGUACCCGCGGCAAGACGGAAAGACCCCGUGAACCUUUACUAUAGCUUGACACUGAACAUUGAGCCUUGAUGUGUAGGAUAGGUGGGAGGCUUUGAAGUGUGGACGCCAGUCUGCAUGGAGCCGACCUUGAAAUACCACCCUUUAAUGUUUGAUGUUCUAACGUGGACCCGUAAUCCGGGUUGCGGACAGUGUCUGGUGGGUAGUUUGACUGGGGCGGUCUCCUCCUAAAGAGUAACGGAGGAGCACGAAGGUUGGCUAAUCCUGGUCGGACAUCAGGAGGUUAGUGCAAUGGCAUAAGCCAGCUUGACUGCGAGCGUGACGGCGCGAGCAGGUGCGAAAGCAGGUCAUAGUGAUCCGGUGGUUCUGAAUGGAAGGGCCAUCGCUCAACGGAUAAAAGGUACUCCGGGGAUAACAGGCUGAUACCGCCCAAGAGUUCAUAUCGACGGCGGUGUUUGGCACCUCGAUGUCGGCUCAUCACAUCCUGGGGCUGAAGUAGGUCCCAAGGGUAUGGCUGUUCGCCAUUUAAAGUGGUACGCGAGCUGGGUUUAGAACGUCGUGAGACAGUUCGGUCCCUAUCUGCCGUGGGCGCUGGAGAACUGAGGGGGGCUGCUCCUAGUACGAGAGGACCGGAGUGGACGCAUCACUGGUGUUCGGGUUGUCAUGCCAAUGGCACUGCCCGGUAGCUAAAUGCGGAAGAGAUAAGUGCUGAAAGCAUCUAAGCACGAAACUUGCCCCGAGAUGAGUUCUCCCUGACCCUUUAAGGGUCCUGAAGGAACGUUGAAGACGACGACGUUGAUAGGCCGGGUGUGUAAGCGCAGCGAUGCGUUGAGCUAACCGGUACUAAUGAACCGUGAGGCUUAACCUU
Molecule: ribosomal RNA, 2903 nt
Filed under: Escherichia coli
Lineage: Bacteria; Pseudomonadati; Pseudomonadota; Gammaproteobacteria; Enterobacterales; Enterobacteriaceae
Description: 23S ribosomal RNA
Rfam family: Bacterial large subunit ribosomal RNA
Source: RNAcentral